AUGGGAUUUUUGAAGACAAACAGACAUGUGAGCCAUGAAUUUUCUCCUCCACGUCCUUAUACUGGACAUAACUUUAAACCAAGAAACAAGUUUUGGUUCUGCUGUACCCUUGCUAUGACCACCACCUGGAAUAUUGUUUUGGACCCAUCCACCCAGCCCAAAGAUCCAUCAUAGGAUUCAAGGGCAUCCACGUGGAGUCCACCAGCAAAUCACUGAGUGACAGAGUGGAGGCUGGCAGGUACGUUUAUUGCAUAACAAGCCACUGCAACACUUAAUAGCCUACACAAUAACAAUGC
This 296-nucleotide long non-coding RNA is filed under the name Bos indicus x Bos taurus (hybrid cattle). RNAcentral describes it as "lncRNA (ENSBIXG00005021183.1)". Lineage: Eukaryota; Metazoa; Chordata; Mammalia; Artiodactyla; Bovidae. The record is from RNAcentral.